Molecule: unclassified non-coding RNA, 426 nt
Filed under: Hevea brasiliensis (rubber tree)
Lineage: Eukaryota; Viridiplantae; Streptophyta; Magnoliopsida; Malpighiales; Euphorbiaceae
Source: RNAcentral
CUGCUGAACAGGAUGGAAAUCCAUGCUCAUAGGAGAUGAUCCCUGAUUCAAAGUCCGAGCAAGAGUCUUUGGCAAGUCAUCUGGCGCAUUAAAAGUCUGACCAUGACCGUGUCCUGGAAAUGAUACUGGCAACACAUUAACUGGCAAAUUGACCUCAUCAGAAAUUCCCAUGGGCCUUGUUCGUUUUGCAACAUGAUCGGAAUCUCCAGAUGGAUAAUCAACAGAAGGAUUAGUUGGAGGAGUCCUUGGAUGCUUCAGAGCAGCUGGGAUUGAUGGAGCACCAAGGCCAAUGGCUCCUCCUCCAGAAACAGCUGGAUGAGUUACAGUGGAAGGAUUAGACAUCCAACCAGCAAGAGGUGCUGGAACAGGUGCUGGUGUAUGCUGGAAUGGCCCAUGAGCACCAAGGGGAGGAAACCCUCCAGGUUU